UACGGAGGAUGCAAGCGUUAUCCGGAAUGCUUGGGCGUAAAGCGUCCGCAGGUGGCUGUGUAAGUCUGCUGUUAAAGAGUGAGGCUCAACCUCAUAAAAGCAGUGGAAACUACACAGCUAGAGUGCGUUCGGGGCAGAGGGAAUUCCUGGUGUAGCGGUGAAAUGCGUAGAGAUCAGGAAGAACACCGGUGGCGAAGGCGCUCUGCUAGGCCGCAACUGACACUGAGGGACGAAAGCUAGGGGAGCGAAUGGG
This 253-nucleotide ribosomal RNA is filed under the name uncultured bacterium. Its description in RNAcentral is "partial 16S ribosomal RNA". It matches the Rfam family "Bacterial small subunit ribosomal RNA", at positions 524 to 776 of the family's 1533-position model. The record is from RNAcentral.